UUUUGAUUAAUAAUUUAAAGUCUAAUCUGCCCMCUGAUAUUAUAUUAAAGGGCUGCAGUAUUUUGACUGUACAAAGGUAGCAUAAUCAUUAGUCUCUUAAUUGGUGACUUGUAUGAAAGAUUUGAUGAAAUAUAUACUGUCUCUAAUUAAUUUAUAAAAUUUAAUUUUUUAGUUAAAAAGCUAAAAUAAAUUUAAAAGACGAGAAGACCCUAUAGAGUUUAAUAUUUAUAUAAAUUGAGAUUUUAUAUAAGAAUUAUAAUUUUAAUAAUAUAUAAAUAUUUUGUUGGGGUGACAAAAAAAUUAAAAUAACUUUUUUUAUAUAUUUACAUUUAUAAAUGAAUAAAUGAUCCAUAAUUUAUGAUUAUAAGAAAAAAUUACCUUAGGGAUAACAGCGUAAUUUUUUUUUUUAGUUCAAAUAAGAAAAAAAGUUUGCGACCUCGAUGUUGGAUUAAGAUAAAAUUUAAAUGCAAAAGUUUAAAAUUUUUGAUCUG
This 491-nucleotide ribosomal RNA is filed under the name Parnassius simo. RNAcentral's name for it is "partial 16S ribosomal RNA". Lineage: Eukaryota; Metazoa; Arthropoda; Insecta; Lepidoptera; Papilionidae. The record is from RNAcentral.